This 300-nucleotide ribosomal RNA is filed under the name uncultured Veillonellaceae bacterium. RNAcentral describes it as "bacterial SSU rRNA". It matches the Rfam family "Bacterial small subunit ribosomal RNA", at positions 28 to 339 of the family's 1533-position model. The record is from RNAcentral. Lineage: Bacteria; Bacillati; Bacillota; Negativicutes; Veillonellales; Veillonellaceae.
GAUGAACGCUGGCGGCGUGCUUAACACAUGCAAGUCGAACGGGGACUUCGGUCCUAGUGGCAAACGGGUGAGUAACGCGUAGGCAAUCUGCCGCAAAGUUGGGGACAACAGUCCGAAAGGGCUGCUAAUACCGAAUGUUAUAUAGGUUUCGCAUGGGACGUAUAUUAAAGAUUUAUCGCUUUGCGAGGAGCCUGCGUCCGAUUAGGUAGUUGGUAAGGUAACGGCUUACCAAGCCGACGAUCGGUAACCGGUCUGAGAGGAUGAACGGUCACAUUGGAACUGAGACACGGUCCAGACUCC